RNAcentral lists this unclassified non-coding RNA (1810 nucleotides) under Zea mays. Its description in RNAcentral is "misc RNA Zm00001eb294380". Lineage: Eukaryota; Viridiplantae; Streptophyta; Magnoliopsida; Poales; Poaceae. The record is from RNAcentral.
GUUACAUUAUUGCAUCGCUACCGGUGCAUGUUCCUACCGGGUUUUACGUAGCCGUAGCCCCCAAUGGCGCCAUCGCUUCCAAAGGCAGCACUGGUGCCACCGUCGACACCGAGGCACCCCGUGUAACUCUGCGGCAGGAAGCUGCUGUCGUUGUAGCCACCAUUACUACUAGGGUUUGCCCUCUCCAGUGCCUUGACCUGCGACUUGAGGAACUUGAGAUAGCCGGCCGCCUCGUCGAGCAUGGACGCAGUGUCCAUCCGGCUACCGCCCGGCACGAGCCGCUGCAGCACGCGCAGGCGCUCGCUCACCCUCUCCCGCCGCAGCCGCGCCGCCACCGUCUGCGGGUCGCUCGAGAUCCGCACGUUCCUGCGCCGCGGCUUGUUCUGGGACGAAGACGGCGGCUCGCCGCCGGCGGCCCCGCACACGAGCUGGUGCACCGGCCGCAUCGCCGCCGCGCGGUAGAUCAUCUCCUUCACCUGCGCUAUUGCCUCCGAGUCCGGCUCGUACCCGUUCCCGUCGCCGACCGACGACGACCCGCCUCCUCCGGCCGCAUGGUUGCCGCCGCCAUGCCCGGCGACCGUGGCGCUGGUCGACGAAGACGACGUCGCGGAGUCGCGCUUCGUGCCACGCCGCGGGGCUGCAACCUGCCCCUCCGCCGUUUUCGUCGUGGCUGUGGCCGACGCCGCGGCUAUUGCAGGGUACUUGCCGGCCAGCUUCCGCUUCGAGGCGCAGGUCGGCGACGCAACCUCCGUGUCAUGGCCUCCGCCGCUGCCGCCGUACGUGUUGGACUCGCCGGAGGAGAUGUUGCCGUAAUUGCCGCCCGUGGUGCUGCUGUAUCCGGAGAAGGCGUUGCUCGACGCGGUGGGCUGCGCGGCGGGCUCCUCGGCGACGACGACGGCGUCCGAACCGCAAGCAAACGUGUCGAGGAGGCUGCAGUCCAGUGCGCCGGUGACGCUAGCGAGCAUAUCCGCCGUGUCCAGGCCCAUGAAGGCGUCGGAAACGGAAAGACUCACGCCGCCGUGGCAGGGCACAAGGUUCUGGACAGCAGGGUGCGACGAGGGCAGGUUGAGGCCGCCAUGGUCAGAACGGAUGUCCAAACCGCCGCCGCCUAGGAAAUCACCGAGGAGGCCGUCGUCGUCGUCGUCCCGGCGGCUUGGCAGGCAUAGCUCUGCUGCAUACUGCAUAUUCCAGCCGCCAAAGUCCUCCAUGAUCUGUACGCCGCCGGCGUGACUGACGGAGCCUGCCUCUGCCCUCAGGCAAGAAGACUUGGUACAGGUUUAGUGGCUGCUGCAAAAAGAUUGCAGCUUCGUGCAAACAGAAUGAAGAAACACAAGAUCAUCUUUCAGUCAGUACCAAUUUGUGAGGCGGUUUGCAAUUACAAAUUCUCCUGCAGUGAACACAUACACAGAGCAAAGCAGAGAAGAAACAAGAUCAUCUAUCAGCUAGCUAGGCAUGCAAAUGCAAUACGUCAGUACCUGACCUGCCUCGCAAAUCGCAACAGCAGACUAAUCGAGGAAUUGGUUAGGUGAUGCAGGUGCAGACCGCCUGCACCGAUCUGUGACUGACGAGUUCUGAAGACUGCAGUGCAGUGCCGGCCUGCAGGGUAGCGAGGAUGGUCCUCGAUCUACUCCCAAUGGAUAGCUGUGCAGAUGGGCGACUUUUAUACACGACUUUGCUGUAGCGCAGUAGCGCUGGCCAAAUUUGUUUCCUUUUUCGGUAGGAGAGGCAUCUUGUGGCCUUGUGGGGGCACUUGCCGUUGGUGGCUGACGGAGGAUAAAGGGUGAGCAGUUGGUGAUUAAAUUCCUUCCUA